Molecule: long non-coding RNA, 585 nt
Filed under: Ananas comosus (pineapple)
Lineage: Eukaryota; Viridiplantae; Streptophyta; Magnoliopsida; Poales; Bromeliaceae
Description: long non-coding RNA (ACOM_LNC018758)
Source: RNAcentral
UUGGAAAUGUGAACAAAAAUAAAAAUAAAGUUGGCAUGGGUUUGGAGUGGGUGUUAAAAAGUGAAAGAUGGGAAAAAUUUGUAGAGGCAUGGAGAUAUAAACGCAUAUAUGGGUAUAUAGAAUAGGACUUGUGUGCUAAUAUAAAUACGGAAGUCUUGGUGCUCCUAAGUCGUUUUGAGUGAUGGGACUUUCAAAUCGACGAUCAGCUCCGUUAGACUUGAUCUAGUGUAUUUGAAGUAUUUAGAAAAUAAUUUUUGCGAAUUUUCGAAAACAUUUACGUAUUGAUCGGAAAGAUUCAAAAUCAAUAAUUUUUAAUGGUUGAUGUAUGCUAUUUGCAAGUUUUAUGGUAUAUAAGUAUUCAAAUCAGAUAAAAUUUUGAUAGAAAAUUCUUUAUACUAUAUACAACAAGAUUGAUAUCUCUAAUAAAAAAUUUUAGUACUACAUCAUAAUUUUUUAUGAGAUUUUUAUUUUGAAUUUUUUAUUUUGAAUCAUUUUAAUUACUAGAUAAAUAAUAUCGUAAAAUCUCAAAAUUUACUUUCUAGAUAGUUCAAAUAUGUUAAAUCAAAUCUAGGGGAGUCGAUUGUU